GACGAACGCUGGCUGCGUGCUUAACACAUGAAAGUCGAACGGAGUGGCGACCGGGUGAGUAACACGUGGGUGACCUGCCCUGCACUUCGGGAUAAGCAUGGGAACCUGGGUCUAAUAACGGAUAGUGUGGGAUGGGCCCGCGGCCUAACAGCUUGUUGGUGGGGUAAUGGCCUACCAUGGCGGCGACGGAUAGCCGGGCGAGGAGGGUGGACGGCUACAUUGGGACUGCGAGACGGCCCUGACUCCUCCGGGAGGCAGCAGUGGGGAAGAUUGCACAAUGGGCGGAAGCCUGAUGCAGCGACGCCGCGUGGGGGGUGACGGCCUUCGUGUUGUAAACUCCUUUCACCAUCGACGCGGUAGAUGGAGAAGAAGCACAGGCUAACUACGGGCCAGCAGCCGCGGUAAUUC
RNAcentral lists this ribosomal RNA (408 nucleotides) under uncultured bacterium. RNAcentral describes it as "partial 16S ribosomal RNA". It matches the Rfam family "Bacterial small subunit ribosomal RNA", at positions 28 to 526 of the family's 1533-position model. The record is from RNAcentral.